RNAcentral lists this unclassified non-coding RNA (316 nucleotides) under uncultured fungus. Its description in RNAcentral is "partial contains small subunit ribosomal RNA, internal transcribed spacer 1, and 5.8S ribosomal RNA". The stretch from base 1 to 73 matches the Rfam family "Eukaryotic small subunit ribosomal RNA", at positions 1759 to 1831 of the family's 1831-position model. The record is from RNAcentral. Lineage: Eukaryota; Fungi.
UCAAACUUGGUCAUUUAGAGGAAGUAAAAGUCGUAACAAGGUUUCCGUAGGUGAACCUGCGGAAGGAUCAUUAGCGAAGUACGGAACGCGUGUGAGGAGCUGAGCUGCCCAGCGAUGGGACGUGCUCGCCCUUGUGCGUGUCCCUUCACUAUCCACCCCACUGUGAACCAAGUGUGCGAGCCGAAGAGAGAUCGGAGGCUCGCAUGCAACCCUUAACAUACCCCAACGAAGUAUCAGAAUGUACCUUGCGUUAACUCGCACAAAUACAACUUUCAACAACGGAUCUCUUGGCUCUCGCAUCGAUGAAGAACGCAGC